GAUGAACGCUGGCGGCGUGCCUAAUACAUGCAAGUCGAGCGAACAGACGAGGAGCUUGCUCCUCUGACGUUAGCGGCGGACGGGUGAGUAACACGUGGAUAACCUACCUAUAAGACUGGGAUAACUUCGGGAAACCGGAGCUAAUACCGGAUAAUAUAUUGAACCGCAUGGUUCAAUAGUGAAAGACGGUUUUGCUGUCACUUAUAGAUGGAUCCGCGCCGCAUUAGCUAGUUGGUAAGGUAACGGCUUACCAAGGCAACGAUGCGUAGCCGACCUGAGAGGGUGAUCGGCCACACGGGAGCUGAGACACGGUCCAGACUCCUGCGGGAGGCAGCAGUAGGGAAUCUGCCGCAAUGGGCGAAAGCCUGACGGAGCAACGCCGCGUGAGUGAUGAAGGUCUUCGGAUCGUAAAACUCUGUUAUUAGGGAAGAACAAAUGUGUAAGUAACUAUGCACGUCUUGACGGUACCUAAUCAGAAAGCCACGGCUAACUACGUG
RNAcentral lists this ribosomal RNA (497 nucleotides) under uncultured bacterium. RNAcentral describes it as "partial 16S ribosomal RNA". It matches the Rfam family "Bacterial small subunit ribosomal RNA", at positions 28 to 507 of the family's 1533-position model. The record is from RNAcentral.